Molecule: small RNA, 826 nt
Filed under: Arabidopsis thaliana (thale cress)
Lineage: Eukaryota; Viridiplantae; Streptophyta; Magnoliopsida; Brassicales; Brassicaceae
Description: ATSL055890
Source: RNAcentral
AAAACAAGAUUAUAUAAAAAGAAAUUUUCAUAUAAGUGGAUGAAAAAAGAAUUGUUUUUAUUAUUUGUUAAAGUGAGAUAUGAUUUUCACCGUUUGUCUUUUCAGUUGCUUUAGACCAAAAUAUUCUUAAUAGGAGCAACCAAACCACACAACACUUGAUUUCGGUUUAGUUUAUGUGGUUCAGUUUUGAGAAAAAAAAAAAAACUGAAACAAAGAAAUUGAAGAAGAAGAAAAAGAGAAAGAGACGGAGAAAUUCGAGAGAGAAGUAGAAAGAAGUUGAAAAUUCAUUAUCCACUCCUUCAUAUUUCGACAUCUCUCCAUUGAACUCCAAAAUUGAGGAACAAAUUUCUUGUUUUCAGAGAUGAACAAAAUGCAAAAAAAAAGCUCAUACAUUCAAACACUUUAACUUUUUAGACUAAAGAUACUUUAGGUUUACAAGAUUUAUUUAUAAAUAGUAAUCCAAACGUAAAAAAAAAUGAGAUUUUGAGAAAACUGAUAAAGACGACCGCAAAAUUAGGUUUGCAGAAAAGGACACACAGGUUGAAGAUGACUGGAAAAUUACAAUUAUACCCUUCAUCGAAUUUUUUCCGUGUACGUAUAUUCAAUUUACAAUGUACUUACACGAAAUUAUUUAUUGGAACGUAUAUGGGACGAUUUCUAAUAACUCAAACUAUUUUAUUACUUAUUCUUAUAUCUCAAUAAUCUCAAUACAUACAUAAUAAUUUAAUAAAAAUAGAUGGUGAAAUAAUGUAAGUAUAUUUUUGUUGGUAAAUUAAUGUAUGUACAUGUGUAAUAAUAUACGUACAUCUUUGUUUGUGAAUUAAAU